Molecule: ribosomal RNA, 2863 nt
Filed under: Klebsiella pneumoniae
Lineage: Bacteria; Pseudomonadati; Pseudomonadota; Gammaproteobacteria; Enterobacterales; Enterobacteriaceae
Description: bacterial LSU rRNA
Rfam family: Bacterial large subunit ribosomal RNA
Source: RNAcentral
UCAGAGGCGAUGAAGGACGUGCUAAUCUGCGAAAAGCGUCGGUAAGGUGAUAUGAACCGUUACAGCCGGCGAUGUCCGAAUGGGGAAACCCAGUGUGAUUCGUCACACUAUCGUUAACUGAAUACAUAGGUUAACGAGGCGAACCGGGGGAACUGAAACAUCUAAGUACCCCGAGGAAAAGAAAUCAACCGAGAUUCCCCCAGUAGCGGCGAGCGAACGGGGAGCAGCCCAGAGUCUGAAUCAGCUUGUGUGUUAGUGGAACGGUCUGGAAAGUCCGACGGUACAGGGUGAUAGUCCCGUACACCAAAAUGCACAGGCUGUGAACUCGAAGAGUAGGGCGGGACACGUGGUAUCCUGUCUGAAUAUGGGGGGACCAUCCUCCAAGGCUAAAUACUCCUGACUGACCGAUAGUGAACCAGUACCGUGAGGGAAAGGCGAAAAGAACCCCGGCGAGGGGAGUGAAAAAGAACCUGAAACCGUGUACGUACAAGCAGUGGGAGCACCUUCGGGUGUGACUGCGUACCUUUUGUAUAAUGGGUCAGCGACUUAUAUUCUGUAGCAAGGUUAACCGUAUAGGGGAGCCGCAGGGAAACCGAGUCUUAACUGGGCGUUAAGUUGCAGGGUAUAGACCCGAAACCCGGUGAUCUAGCCAUGGGCAGGUUGAAGGUUGGGUAACACUAACUGGAGGACCGAACCGACUAAUGUUGAAAAAUUAGCGGAUGACUUGUGGCUGGGGGUGAAAGGCCAAUCAAACCGGGAGAUAGCUGGUUCUCCCCGAAAGCUAUUUAGGUAGCGCCUCGUGAACUCAUCUUCGGGGGUAGAGCACUGUUUCGGCUAGGGGGUCAUCCCGACUUACCAACCCGAUGCAAACUACGAAUACCGAAGAAUGUUAUCACGGGAGACACACGGCGGGUGCUAACGUCCGUCGUGAAGAGGGAAACAACCCAGACCGCCAGCUAAGGUCCCAAAGUCAUGGUUAAGUGGGAAACGAUGUGGGAAGGCACAGACAGCCAGGAUGUUGGCUUAGAAGCAGCCAUCAUUUAAAGAAAGCGUAAUAGCUCACUGGUCGAGUCGGCCUGCGCGGAAGAUGUAACGGGGCUAAACCAUGCACCGAAGCUGCGGCAGCGACACUAUGUGUUGUUGGGUAGGGGAGCGUUCUGUAAGCCUGCGAAGGUGUGCUGUGAGGCAUGCUGGAGGUAUCAGAAGUGCGAAUGCUGACAUAAGUAACGAUAAAGCGGGUGAAAAGCCCGCUCGCCGGAAGACCAAGGGUUCCUGUCCAACGUUAAUCGGGGCAGGGUGAGUCGACCCCUAAGGCGAGGCCGAAAGGCGUAGUCGAUGGGAAACAGGUUAAUAUUCCUGUACUUGGUGUUACUGCGAAGGGGGGACGGAGAAGGCUAUGUUAGCCGGGCGACGGUUGUCCCGGUUUAAGCAUGUAGGCUGGUUGUCCAGGCAAAUCCGGAUAAUCAAGGCUGAGGUGUGAUGACGAGGCACUACGGUGCUGAAGUAACAAAUGCCCUGCUUCCAGGAAAAGCCUCUAAGCAUCAGGUAACAUCAAAUCGUACCCCAAACCGACACAGGUGGUCAGGUAGAGAAUACCAAGGCGCUUGAGAGAACUCGGGUGAAGGAACUAGGCAAAAUGGUGCCGUAACUUCGGGAGAAGGCACGCUGGUGUGUAGGUGAAGUCCCUGCGGAUGGAGCUGAGACCAGUCGAAGAUACCAGCUGGCUGCAACUGUUUAUUAAAAACACAGCACUGUGCAAACACGAAAGUGGACGUAUACGGUGUGACGCCUGCCCGGUGCCGGAAGGUUAAUUGAUGGGGUUAUCCGUAAGGAGAAGCUCUUGAUCGAAGCCCCGGUAAACGGCGGCCGUAACUAUAACGGUCCUAAGGUAGCGAAAUUCCUUGUCGGGUAAGUUCCGACCUGCACGAAUGGCGUAAUGAUGGCCAGGCUGUCUCCACCCGAGACUCAGUGAAAUUGAACUCGCUGUGAAGAUGCAGUGUACCCGCGGCAAGACGGAAAGACCCCGUGAACCUUUACUAUAGCUUGACACUGAACAUUGAGCCUUGAUGUGUAGGAUAGGUGGGAGGCUUUGAAGCGUGGACGCCAGUCUGCGUGGAGCCAACCUUGAAAUACCACCCUUUAAUGUUUGAUGUUCUAACGUUGGCCCCUUACCGGGGUUGCGGACAGUGUCUGGUGGGUAGUUUGACUGGGGCGGUCUCCUCCCAAAGCGUAACGGAGGAGCACGAAGGUUAGCUAAUCCUGGUCGGACAUCAGGAGGUUAGUGCAAUGGCAUAAGCUAGCUUGACUGCGAGCGUGACGGCGCGAGCAGGUGCGAAAGCAGGUCAUAGUGAUCCGGUGGUUCUGAAUGGAAGGGCCAUCGCUCAACGGAUAAAAGGUACUCCGGGGAUAACAGGCUGAUACCGCCCAAGAGUUCAUAUCGACGGCGGUGUUUGGCACCUCGAUGUCGGCUCAUCACAUCCUGGGGCUGAAGUAGGUCCCAAGGGUAUGGCUGUUCGCCAUUUAAAGUGGUACGCGAGCUGGGUUUAGAACGUCGUGAGACAGUUCGGUCCCUAUCUGCCGUGGGCGCUGGAGAAUUGAGGGGGGCUGCUCCUAGUACGAGAGGACCGGAGUGGACGCAUCACUGGUGUUCGGGUUGUCAUGCCAAUGGCACUGCCCGGUAGCUAAAUGCGGAAGAGAUAAGUGCUGAAAGCAUCUAAGCACGAAACUUGCCCCGAGAUGAGUUCUCCCUGAGACUUUAAGUCUCCUGAAGGAACGUUAAAGACGAUGACGUUGAUAGGCCGGGUGUGUAAGCGCAGCGAUGCGUUGAGCUAACCGGUACUAAUGAACCGUGAGGCUUAACCUU